This 278-nucleotide ribosomal RNA is filed under the name uncultured bacterium. RNAcentral's name for it is "partial 16S ribosomal RNA". It matches the Rfam family "Bacterial small subunit ribosomal RNA", at positions 506 to 784 of the family's 1533-position model. The record is from RNAcentral.
UGCCAGCAGCCGCGGUAAUACGGAGGGUCCAAGCGUUAUCCGGAAUCACUGGGUUUAAAGGGUGCGUAGGUGGUUAUUUAAGUCAGAAGUGAAAUCUUGCAGCUCAACUGUAAAACUGCUUUUGAAACUGAAUAACUUGAAUAUUUUUGAUGUGGGCGGAAUGAGUCAUGUAGCGGUGAAAUGCGUAGAUAUGACUCAGAACACCGAUUGCGAAGGCAGCUCACAAAGAAAUAUUGACACUGAGGCACGAAAGCGUGGGUAGCGAACAGGAUUAGAUA